UACGGAGGGGGCUAGCGUUGUUCGGAAUUACUGGGCGUAAAGCGCGCGUAGGCGGCUUUGUAAGUUAGAGGUGAAAGCCCGGAGCUCAACCCCGGAACUGCCUUUAAGACUGCAUCGCUUGAAUCAUGGAGAGGUGAGUGGAAUUCCGAGUGUAGAGGUGAAAUUCGUAGAUAUUCGGAAGAACACCAGUGGCGAAGGCGACUCACUGGACAUGUAUUGACGCUGAGGUGCGAAAGCGUGGGGAGCAAACAGGG
Molecule: ribosomal RNA, 254 nt
Filed under: uncultured bacterium
Lineage: Bacteria
Description: partial 16S ribosomal RNA
Rfam family: Bacterial small subunit ribosomal RNA
Source: RNAcentral